UACAGAGGGUGCGAGCGUUGUCCGGAAUCACUGGGCGUAAAGGGCUCGUAGGCGGUUUGUCGCGUCGGGAGUGAAAUCCACUGGCUUAACUGGUGGCUUGCUUUCGAUACGGGCAGACUGGAGGUAUGCAGGGGAGAACGGAAUUCCUGGUGUAGCGGUGAAAUGCGCAGAUAUCAGGAGGAACACCGGUGGCGAAGGCGGCAUCCUGGACCAACACUGACACUGAUGAGCGAAAGCCAGGGGAGCAAACGGG
RNAcentral lists this ribosomal RNA (253 nucleotides) under uncultured bacterium. Its description in RNAcentral is "partial 16S ribosomal RNA". It matches the Rfam family "Bacterial small subunit ribosomal RNA", at positions 524 to 776 of the family's 1533-position model. The record is from RNAcentral.